RNAcentral lists this long non-coding RNA (552 nucleotides) under Olea europaea subsp. europaea. The record is from RNAcentral. Lineage: Eukaryota; Viridiplantae; Streptophyta; Magnoliopsida; Lamiales; Oleaceae.
AGCAAAUUCCCUGUGACAUGAGCAAAUUUCAAAUAAAAGUAGAAUAAUGGAUGAAAAAUCUACAUACGUUAUAACAUGAGAGAAUAAUGAUACAAUAUUCAACCAUGUUGGCCGAUUAAUCAGCAAGUUUCUUUCUGCCAACUAAAAUUUCGGUGUAGCUACAAACCAAGUAUCAAGAGUGGAGGAGAGGAUGUUACUGGAAAAAUCCAAAUAUUCAUAUAACUGUGGCCAAAAUAAUAGAAAACACAGAACUCAUUCACACAUCAUUAUAUUUUUUUCAAAACACAAAAUUUAAAAGGAUUGUGGCUUUAGCAUAAUGGUGGAAUGCUUCAAAAUAUGCAUAUUGAAUUGGCCACCUAUCUCACUGAUGUCUAUCUUCGACUGCCCAGGAGGAGGCAACAGCUCGAAAUUCUGCACCACCAAAAGCACUCCUCCAGCCGUAGGUGCCACACCAUAAGCACUCCUCCAACCAUGGUGUUACUGCACUGAAUGCAUCUACUCUUCUGCUGGACAUAUUCUGCGCAAUUAAAAGAAGUGAAGUGAGCAAAAAAG